UACGUAGGGUCCGAGCGUUGUCCGGAAUUACUGGGCGUAAAGAGCUCGUAGGCGGUUUGUCGCGUCGAAUGUGAAAACCCGGGGCUCAACUCCGGGCCUGCAUUCGAUACGGGCAGACUAGAGUUCGGUAGGGGAGACUGGAAUUCCUGGUGGUAGCGGUGAAAUGCGCAGGAUAUCAGGAGGAACACCGGUGGCGAAGGCGGGUCUCUGGGCCGAUGACUGACGCUGAGGAGCGAAAGCGUGGGGAGCGAACAGG
This 256-nucleotide ribosomal RNA is filed under the name uncultured bacterium. RNAcentral's name for it is "partial 16S ribosomal RNA". It matches the Rfam family "Bacterial small subunit ribosomal RNA", at positions 524 to 776 of the family's 1533-position model. The record is from RNAcentral.